AACGUGAUAAGGGGACACCGAGUGCCAGCAUCAUAUGCUGGCUGUCCAGAUGUGUAAAAUACAUCUGUUAGCAAGGGCCGGGCAAGACCGGUGCCAGCCGCCGCGGUAACACCGGCGGCCCGAGUGGUGAUCGUGAUUAUUGGGUCUAAAGGGUCCGUAGCCGGUUUGGUCAGUCCUCCGGGAAAUCUGAUGGCUCAACCAUUAGGCUUUCGGGGGAUACUGCCAGGCUUGGAACCGGGAGAGGUAAGAGGUACUACAGGGGUAGGAGUGAAAC
RNAcentral lists this ribosomal RNA (274 nucleotides) under uncultured archaeon. Its description in RNAcentral is "partial 16S ribosomal RNA". It matches the Rfam family "Archaeal small subunit ribosomal RNA", at positions 364 to 638 of the family's 1478-position model. The record is from RNAcentral.